Molecule: ribosomal RNA, 122 nt
Filed under: Lepisosteus oculatus (spotted gar)
Lineage: Eukaryota; Metazoa; Chordata; Actinopteri; Semionotiformes; Lepisosteidae
Source: RNAcentral
GCCAGCAGCCAUAUCACCCUGCAACUCACCACUGGCAGCCCCACUGGAGCUCAGCAGGUGGGAGCCUGGUCAGUACCUGGAUGGGAGACCUCCUGGGGAAAAAGCUCAGGCUGCUGCUGGAA